UACAGAGGUCCCAAGCGUUGUUCGGAUUCACUGGGCGUAAAGGGUGCGUAGGUGGUCGGGUAAGUCUGAUGUGAAAUCUCCGAGCUUAACUCGGAAAUGGCAUUGGAUACUAGUCGGCUAGAGGGUUUGAGGGGGGACUGGAAUACUUGGUGUAGCAGUGAAAUGCGUAGAUAUCAAGUGGAACACCAGUGGCGAAGGCGAGUCCCUGGAAAACUCCUGACACUGAGGCACGAAAGCUAGGGGAGCAAACAGG
RNAcentral lists this ribosomal RNA (253 nucleotides) under uncultured bacterium. RNAcentral's name for it is "partial 16S ribosomal RNA". It matches the Rfam family "Bacterial small subunit ribosomal RNA", at positions 524 to 776 of the family's 1533-position model. The record is from RNAcentral.